RNAcentral lists this long non-coding RNA (406 nucleotides) under Homo sapiens (human). RNAcentral's name for it is "HSALNT0380362". Lineage: Eukaryota; Metazoa; Chordata; Mammalia; Primates; Hominidae. The record is from RNAcentral.
UGCCAUUGGGUUCUUCGUUUCGCUGACCAAAAAUGAAGCCGUGGACCUUCCCGCUGAGCCUUCCUGAGGAGGUAAAGGAGUGUCCCUGGUGCUUGGGCAAAUGGAACCGGUUCAGCCCAUGCUGUCACCACGUGCAGGGCCCUCUCUCAGUGUGACUGGUGUGACAGGAGGAAGAAGGGCAGUGAGCCGUGGCCCAGCUAUUGCAGGGACAGCCAGAGCAGCUUCCUGCAGUGCAAGCCCUGCCUGACGCCCUUCUGCCUUUCUCAUCGGGUCUCAGCUCGUCCUGGCCACACCCGUCCAGGCCUUUUCUGCAGGAAAGGAACUUUUGCUCAACCAUCCAUUUUGAAAGUGGAGACUCUAUCUCCAUUCUAACGCUCCUUUUCUUUUAGACUUUUAAACACAUUUU